UUUACCAGGACGAACCGAUAAUGA
RNAcentral lists this small nuclear RNA (24 nucleotides) under Arabidopsis thaliana (thale cress). RNAcentral's name for it is "snRNA_11793". The record is from RNAcentral. Lineage: Eukaryota; Viridiplantae; Streptophyta; Magnoliopsida; Brassicales; Brassicaceae.